Molecule: ribosomal RNA, 252 nt
Filed under: uncultured bacterium
Lineage: Bacteria
Description: partial 16S ribosomal RNA
Rfam family: Bacterial small subunit ribosomal RNA
Source: RNAcentral
UACGUAGGGGGCAAGCGUUGUCCGGAUUUAUUGGCGUAAAGCGCUCGCAGGCGGUCCGAUUCGUCGUGCGUGAAAGACCCCGGCUCAACUGGGGAGGGUCGUGCGAUACGGUCGGACUCGAGGCCAGUAGGGGGACGCGGAAUUCCGGGUGUAGUGGUGGAAUGCGUAGAGAUCCGGAGGAACACCAGCGGCGAAGGCGGCGUCCUGGACUGGUACUGACGCUGAGGCGCGAAAGCUAGGGGAGCAAACGGG